UUGGAGGGCAAGUCUGGUGCCAGCAGCCGCGGUAAUUCCAGCUCCAAUAGCGUAUAUUAAAGUUGUUGCAGUUAAAAAGCUCGUAGUUGAAUUUCGGGGUCAGUAGGUUGGUCAUGCCACUGGUAUGUACUGGUCUCACUGAUUCCUCCUUCCUGAUGAACUGUAAUGCCAUUAAUUUGGUGUUGCAGGGAAUCUGGACUGUUACUUUGAAAAAAUUAGAGUGUUUAAAGCAGGCUAACGCCUGAAUACAUUAGCAUGGAAUAAUGAAAUAGGACGUUCGAUCCUAUUUUGUUGGUUUCUAGGAUUGACGUAAUGAUUAAUAGGGAUGGUUGGGGGCAUUAGUAUUCAAUUGUCAGAGGUGAAAUUCUUGGAUUUAUUGAAGACUAACUACUGCGAAAGCAUUUGCCAAGGAUGUUUUCAUUAAUCAAGAACGAAAGUUAGGGGAUCGAAGACGAUCAGAUACCGUCGUAGUCUUAACCAUAAACUAUGCCGACUAGGGAUCGGAUGAUGUUAAUUUUUUAAUGACUCAUUCGGCGCCUUACGGGAAAC
This 549-nucleotide ribosomal RNA is filed under the name uncultured Rhizophagus. RNAcentral's name for it is "SSU rRNA". It matches the Rfam family "Eukaryotic small subunit ribosomal RNA", at positions 548 to 1098 of the family's 1831-position model. The record is from RNAcentral. Lineage: Eukaryota; Fungi; Glomeromycota; Glomeromycetes; Glomerales; Glomeraceae.